AGCGCAGGCGGUUUGUCAAGUCAGAUGUGAAAGCCCACGGCUCAACCGUGGAAGUGCAUUCGAAACUGGCAGACUUGAGUAUCAGAGGGGAAAGUGGAAUUCCCGGUGUAGAGGUGAAAUUCGUAGAUAGUCGGGGGGAAUACCGGUGGCGAAGGCGACUUUCUGGCUGAAUACUGACGCUGAGGCUCGAAAGCGUGGGAAGCAAACA
Molecule: ribosomal RNA, 208 nt
Filed under: uncultured bacterium
Lineage: Bacteria
Description: partial 16S ribosomal RNA
Rfam family: Bacterial small subunit ribosomal RNA
Source: RNAcentral